Molecule: long non-coding RNA, 621 nt
Filed under: Equus caballus (horse)
Lineage: Eukaryota; Metazoa; Chordata; Mammalia; Perissodactyla; Equidae
Description: lncRNA (ENSECAG00000047796.1)
Source: RNAcentral
UCCAUCUUUGGCAUGGAUUAGAAAAUUCCGCUGUGGCGUUGGCAGGGCUUACGCCGGCACCAGAACAUUAAAGAAACCUCGCAUUGAGGGCUACGAAGAACAAAGAAGAUGGAUCACGUGUCUCCCAGGCUGAGAGCCUUCCUCUCUGAACCCAUUGGAGAAAAGGAUGUUGUCUGGGUCGAUGGGAUCAGCCAUGAGCUUGCAAUCAAUUUGGUCACCAAAGGUUUCAACAAGCUGCUAGCCAAGGAGGGUGAUCGGUAAAAAUGCCACUAGUCCAACUGACGUGUGCUGUCAGCCUAGAGCGCGCAUUGAUUUCAGGACAAAGACUGAUUUCAAGAAAAAAAAAAAGAAGAGAAGACAGAGACCCACAGUGAAAAGGCAGCCACGUGACAAUGGAGGCAGAGACUGGAGUGAUCCACCCACAGGCCAAGGACUGCCAGGGAUUGCCCACACACACCGGAAGCUGGAAGAGCUAGGAAUGAUGCUCCCCUGCGGUAUCAGAGGGAGCAGGUCCCUGCGGGCACCUCGAUUUUCGAUUUCCAGCCUCUGGAACUGUGAGACAAUAAAUCUGUGUUGUUUCAAGCCAUCUGGUUUGUGGUACUUUGUUACACCAACCCCAGG